RNAcentral lists this ribosomal RNA (253 nucleotides) under uncultured bacterium. RNAcentral describes it as "partial 16S ribosomal RNA". It matches the Rfam family "Bacterial small subunit ribosomal RNA", at positions 524 to 776 of the family's 1533-position model. The record is from RNAcentral.
UACGGGGGGGGCAAGCGUUGUUCAGAAUUACUGGGCGUAAAGGGCUCGUAGGCGGCCAACUAAGUCAGACGUGAAAUCCCUCGGCUUAACCGGGGAACUGCGUCUGAUACUGGAUGGCUUGAGAUUGGGAGAGGGAUGCGGAAUUCCAGGUGUAGCGGUGAAAUGCGUAGAUAUUCGCAAGAACACCAGUGGCGAAGGCGGCUCACUGGCUAAUGACUGACGCUGAGGUGCGAAAGCUAGGGGAGCGAACGGG